Molecule: ribosomal RNA, 413 nt
Filed under: uncultured Rhizophagus
Lineage: Eukaryota; Fungi; Glomeromycota; Glomeromycetes; Glomerales; Glomeraceae
Description: partial 28S ribosomal RNA
Source: RNAcentral
GAGAGUUAAACAGUACGUGAAAUUGUUGAAAGGGAAACGAUUGAAGCCAGUCGUACCUGCGGACAAUCAGCUUUUUGAGUGUGAUUAUGUGGAUUGUGAGGAGUUUAAUCACCCUCAUGUUUUACGUAUUCGUGCUCUUGGGUGUACUUGCCCGUGUGGUAGGUUAACAUCAAUUUUGGUGGUCAUAAAAUGACUGGGGGAAUGUAGCUUCGAUCUUGUAUUGAAGUGUUAUAGCCUUCGGUAGAUGUGAUGAUCGAGAUUGAGGAUUGCAACGGAUACCCUUUGGGGCUACCUGUCUGAUCUCUGAUCGUUGCUUUGGUGCCGAAAGCUUGCUUACGGUUAUCAAAGUCGAUGGUCAAUAGGUUAGAACGGGUUAAAUUCGUUAAGGAUGUUGACGUAAUGGCUUUAAACGA